RNAcentral lists this transfer RNA (71 nucleotides) under Gongylonema pulchrum. It matches the Rfam family "tRNA". Rfam says of the family: Transfer RNA (tRNA) molecules are approximately 80 nucleotides in length. Their secondary structure includes four short double-helical elements and three loops (D, anti-codon, and T loops). Lineage: Eukaryota; Metazoa; Nematoda; Chromadorea; Rhabditida; Gongylonematidae. The record is from Rfam by way of RNAcentral.
GGACCGGUGGUGUAGUGGUAACAUAUUGUGCCCGAGCAUGAAGAGGAAUGGUUCGAUUCCCUCCCGGUCCG